RNAcentral lists this ribosomal RNA (496 nucleotides) under uncultured bacterium. RNAcentral describes it as "partial 16S ribosomal RNA". It matches the Rfam family "Bacterial small subunit ribosomal RNA", at positions 28 to 506 of the family's 1533-position model. The record is from RNAcentral.
GAUGAACGCUGGCGGCGUGCCUAAUACAUGCAAGUCGAGCGAACAGACGAGGAGCUUGCUCCUCUGACGUUAGCGGCGGACGGGUGAGUAACACGUGGAUAACCUACCUAUAAGACUGGGAUAACUUCGGGAAACCGGAGCUAAUACCGGAUAAUAUAUUGAACCGCAUGGUUCAAUAGUGAAAGACGGUUUUGCUGUCACUUAUAGAUGGAUCCGCGCCGCAUUAGCUAGUUGGUAAGGUAACGGCUUACCAAGGCAACGAUGCGUAGCCGACCUGAGAGGGUGAUCGGCCACACUGAAACUGAGACACGGCCCAGCCUCCUACGGGAGGCAGCAGUAGGGAAUCUUCCGCAAUGGGCGAAAGCCUGACGGAGCAACGCCGCGUGAGUGAUGAAGGUCUUCGGUUCGUAAAACUCUGUUAUUAGGGAAGAACAAAUGUGUAAGUAACUAUGCCCGUCUUGACGGUACCUAAUCAGAAAGCCACGGCUAACUACGU